CNUGCAGUCGAACGAUGAACCUCUUNCGGGAGGGGAUUAGUGGCGAACGGGUGAGUAACACGUGNNNANUCUGCCCUUCACUCUGGGACAAGCCCUGGAAACGGGGUCUAAUACCGGAUAUGACACGGGAUCGCAUGAUCUCCGUGUGGAAAGCUCCGGCGGUGAAGGAUGAGCCCGCGGCCUAUCAGCUUGUUGGUGGGGUGAUGGCCUACCAAGGCGACGACGGGUAGCCGGCCUGAGAGGGCGACCGGCCACACUGGGACUGAGACACGGCCCAGACUCNUACGGGAGGCAGCAGUGGGGAAUAUUGCACAAUGGGCGAAAGCCUGAUGCAGCGACGCCGCGUGAGGGAUGACGGCCUUCGGGUUGUAAACCUCUUUCAGCAGGGAAGAAGCGAGAGUGACGGUACCUGCAGAAGAAGCGCCGGCUAACUACGUGCCAGCAGCCGCGGUAAUACGUAGGGCGCAAGCGUUGUCCGGAAUUAUUGGGCGUAAAGAGCUCGUAGGCGGCUUGUCACGUCGGAUGUGAAAGCCCGGGGCUUAACCCCGGGUCUGCAUUCGAUACGGGCAGGCUAGAGUUCGGUAGGGGAGAUCGGAAUUCCUGGUGUAGCGGUGAAAUGCGCAGAUAUCAGGAGGAACACCGGUGGCGAAGGCGGAUCUCUGGGCCGAUACUGACGCUGAGGAGCGAAAGCGUGGGGAGCGAACAGGAUUAGAUACCCUGGUAGUCCACGCCGUAANCGUUGGGAACUAGGUGUGGGCGACAUUCCACGUCGUCCGUGCCGCAGCUAACGCAUUAAGUUCCCCGCCUGGGGAGUACGGCCGCAAGGCUAAAACUCAANGGAAUUGACGGGGGCCCGCACAAGCAGCGGAGCAUGUGGCUUAANUUCGACGCAACGCGAAGAAACCUUACCAAGGCUUGACAUACGCCGGAAAAACCCUGGANNNNGGGUCCCCCCUUNGGNNCC
This 964-nucleotide ribosomal RNA is filed under the name Streptomyces sp. RNAcentral describes it as "bacterial SSU rRNA". It matches the Rfam family "Bacterial small subunit ribosomal RNA", at positions 54 to 1028 of the family's 1533-position model. The record is from RNAcentral. Lineage: Bacteria; Bacillati; Actinomycetota; Actinomycetes; Kitasatosporales; Streptomycetaceae.